Molecule: ribosomal RNA, 430 nt
Filed under: Pseudomonadota bacterium
Lineage: Bacteria; Pseudomonadati; Pseudomonadota
Description: Proteobacteria bacterium partial 16S ribosomal RNA
Rfam family: Bacterial small subunit ribosomal RNA
Source: RNAcentral
UGGGGAAUAUUGGACAAUGGGCGAAAGCCUGAUCCAGCCAUGCCGCGUGUGUGAAGAAGGUCUUCGGAUUGUAAAGCACUUUAAGCGAGGAGGAGGGUACUGGUAUUAAUACUACCAGGUACUGGACGUUACUCGCAGAAUAAGCACCGGCUAACUCUGUGCCAGCAGCCGCGGUAAUACAGAGGGUGCAAGCGUUAAUCGGAAUUACUGGGCGUAAAGCGCGCGUAGGUGGUUCGUUAAGUUGAAUGUGAAAGCCCCGGGCUCAACCUGGGAACUGCAUCCAAAACUGGCGAGCUAGAGUAGGGCAGAGGGUGGUGGAAUUUCCUGUGUAGCGGUGAAAUGCGUAGAUAUAGGAAGGAACACCAGUGGCGAAGGCGACCACCUGGGCUCAUACUGACACUGAGGUGCGAAAGCGUGGGGAGCAAACAGG